AAUAUACUUCAGGGUCAGGUGAAAAUCCUAACCGGCGGUGAAACAUACUUGAUAUGGUAAGCCCGCGACCUGCGAUAGCAGCUGAUCUGGUUUGAAUCCAGAGCCGACCGUAAAGUCGGGUAUAAAGAAGUUAAAA
Molecule: non-coding RNA, 136 nt
Filed under: Leuconostoc carnosum
Lineage: Bacteria; Bacillati; Bacillota; Bacilli; Lactobacillales; Lactobacillaceae
Also listed under: 1 other name
Description: FMN
Rfam family: FMN riboswitch aptamer (RFN element)
About the family: The RFN element is a highly conserved domain that is found frequently in the 5'-untranslated regions of prokaryotic mRNAs that encode for flavin mononucleotide (FMN) biosynthesis and transport proteins.
Source: RNAcentral